This 312-nucleotide long non-coding RNA is filed under the name Homo sapiens (human). RNAcentral's name for it is "HSALNT0317404". Lineage: Eukaryota; Metazoa; Chordata; Mammalia; Primates; Hominidae. The record is from RNAcentral.
GCGGGGGGUCCCUGGGGCAGACGCCCUGCUAUCCUCAUCUUAGGAUACCCAGUUCCCAACACAGUGCCUGCUGCAAAUUAUCAGUAAUAACAGGCCAUUAACUCCCCUGCUGGUCCCUAUCCAUGGAGCCCAUUGACAGAUGAGUUUGAUUCUGGACCUAAGAAGGACAGUUAACAGACACAGAUAUCUUUUAAGACCCUGAACUCUCCUCUCUACACCAUCGCAUGUCAGUGGAACUAUAAGCCUCAAGACCUGAGUUCAAGUUCGUCCUCUGCCACUUACUAAUGUGAUCUUGGCAAGUCACGUAUUCUC